CUUCAUGCCUUCAUUAUUCUGGAGCUCGAACCGUGGACCCACAGACCCGCACCUUAUUCCCUCAAGGAAUUUUGUUUUUGUUCCAAUUUGUUCCUGUCGAGCUUGAUCCAUCCGGACGGAAUCCUAGAGUGGAUAAAUAUACAUCUUGUACAGAUUUAGCAGUGUGGGUAUUGGCGACUGGGAGCCUUUGCCUGUGUGAAGUGAGGUUCGUGGAGACAAGAAUAGUAUCGCUGUUGAUGUUUGUGGGCUUCAGAGGGGUGGUGAUUGGGACAUGAGUGACAAAAGCAAGAUCGGUAAUGUGACUCGGCAUCUUGCGUACCACUUAAUUUAGGUUGAUGUGAUUGGCGUGCCGAGUUUGUAAGGGACCAUAGAGUAUCGAAGUGGUGGAUCGACUUUUGGACUUUUAGUUUCUGUUCGUGAACACUGCACCCGCCCUCACGAUGACUUUGAUGCUUCAAUGAUGGUUUUGUAGCGAGUAGGAAUGCCGAAAGACGGAAAACCGUCACUCUAUCGUUUCAUGAACAUGAAUGUGGACAUUGACCAACCCAAGUCUGUAGAGCGAAAAAUGUUCGAAACAAAGGACCAACCCAGACCUAGAUGAUUUCCGAAUUCCCAUUUUAGAACAAAGUUGGCACCUUUCAUGCAGUGGCAGCAUUACAUUGCGGCGACAAAGAGUAUGUUAUGAAUCCGAAUUUGCUGAGGAAUAUAGGCCCAAACGAAUCACCCUCGCUAGAACUGGAGAAGGGGGAGCAGUGAAGAUCCAUUCUGCUUUUAGAAUGAGAAAUCUCACGAACACGUGAUCCUUUCCCAUGGAAAUCUUAAAAUUUUGCAUCAACACAAUUGUUAAGCUGUGACGACGUGAAACUAACUGGCGCCAAGCUCUCGGCAUUACGGUUGCAAUAUGAUAUUGCACUCUUCAAGCCAAGAACAGAACCUGCGGCAGCCGAGCGCCUUCUGCUGCAAAAAACAUCAUUAGAAGACGCAUACGGCACUGCGAUGACUGAAGUUGUCUCUGCAUUACUUUAAUAAGACGGCGGUAUCCGUUUUCGAUGUUGGUGGCGCAUUUUCGGACAUGUCACUGACACAGGCCUCUGACAACUGCAGACGUUCGUGGAAUUCGAACGCCAGGUUGCAGGACAGCGGAUGACUCCGACGAGAACCCCGGCAAUGGGGGGAUAUCCAGCAUAAAAAGAUGCGGGCCCAGGAGGCCUUGAAACAGUGGGUAAUCCUCCCCGAAAUGCCCACGACCUGUUUCCUCUAUUGUGAGGCCAAACGGGAGCGCUUGUAGGCUGUGAAUCCCGAUCCCUGUCAUCAAACGUGCACACAAUUAGGUCAUGUCCAGGCUGGAGCAGACCCUCGAUUAUUUUCUUCAGUGCAUGUUGAAGAUCUGCACAUCUCGAGCUUGGAGUCCAUUUCUGUAGGAUCUGGGACACCACUCGCAGCACGUUUGUGGAUGUAGGCGCAGGUCCCGUCGCAUGCGGCGGUAACACUUUUAUUUCCGCAUAUUUGAAUCGUAAACAUCGGAACGGAGAAUAGGGUGGAUUACUGGGUCACCAGUGAUCUACUGUUGGUGUGCUACCGCACAGCUCACUCGAUCCACUCGCCAUGCGAUAAGUAGCCAACGCGUGGUGCAUGCAGCUCUUGUAUCCACAGCUCGUAUCUCUCCGUUUCAAGUUCGCAUAUCUUUGUUCUCCUUGCCUUCACUCAUUCUCUUCAAGUUAGUCAGAGUCCCCUUUUGUUUGUGCGCGCUUCUCUGGUCAGUCACAGAUCUGUUCAAAUCGAUUCCACAUUUUGUAAUCAGUAGUUUUAGUUCGGAUUCUUCACGUGGGUUGUGUAUUGCAAUUUCAGUGUGCCGUUCUGCUAGUGAACUUACCGAUUUGCACAUAUCAACAUAGCGACGAAUACUUUCGUUUGAUCCGCACACUCUCCUCCACGGUAGUGAAAUCUAUUCUCUUGCUUUCAUGUUCUGUACUCUUUUCCAGAUCUGAUGCUCGGUUGCAGCUGUUAUGCUCACGAAUCUGAGCAUGAAACUCUCCCCUUUUUUCUUUAUAACGUUAUGAAACGAGAUCCGUUAUGCGGUUGAGCGCGGCCCUGCACCGUACAAGAAUCUCACACCCUACCUUGAGAGCUUGGCAAUGACCAAAGGUCCGCACCUUGAAAAUUUGUGGGAGAGCUGUUUACUUCGCCUGCUAAAUCGAACAUAAAAAAAUGUGCGACAACCUCUUUCCAGGCUCUGAAUUUUAUUAUCUUCUCUUGCUAUAUAAACUAGGGGCUAACCUCUCGGGACUUGGCUCUCAACACACGUCACACAGUGCGUUACUCGACGUGGAACCCCUCGUGAUUGCAGCUUAGAGCUCGUCGUUUUCAUCUAACGCACUUUUCUUUUCCAGUCUUGACUGUCAUGUCAGUACCUUCAAAGAGCCCGCCUGAGUUCGUUUGCUACGACUUCAGUGGGUACCGUCACCCUUUCACGGAACACCACAAAAAGAUUUCGGAGCUACUUGUGAGAGCUGUUUGAUCAUGCCAUUGUGCUCUACGCGCUCGCAGAAUUGAUCGAGAACACUAGAUUAGCUGAUGAUAUGUGAGGAUUGAAGUCGUUGCAUUCACGUUAGCUUCAAGUUCCUGAGCUCAUUUCGAAUUCCGUAAGGGUGCUUCACGUCUCUUGCAGGUGCCGACUUACACAUUGGAAGCGUUGAGAGUUACUUGUGCUUCGUAGUUCACUUACAUCUUGGAGUACUGCAUCUUCAGAUCUCACUACAAGAAGUGUGUGAGCAACGGGCUGGAUUCAAGAUGUGAUUCUUUCUGCACAACACAGCGACAGCACUGCUGCUGGUUCCGGCGUCUUCCUUAACCUUUCUCGCAUAUUCGAAGAUGCCAAUCUUGCAGCCACCUUACAUUUGGCCGUUUCGAGUCUGAAGUGAAGAGGUGCCGAGAACCAGACGUUCUCAAUUUCCUCAACCCCGUCAUCUAUGGCGGCGCUCUAGCCUGUUGGCGCAUUCAUUCUCGUUCCCUCAACUAAUCUCCUUAGAGUCCACUCUAACACCCGAGUUAGUAGCGGAUGAACCAAGUUUUGACCAUUGUGUUACAUGUUUAACCAUUUUUGUGUUUUUUAAAUCCUUUUUCGGUAUCUUAUUUACGCAGUCAACUUUAGCAGGCACAGCACAAAUUUCAUCUGGAAAGCGAGCGUUGACGUGCCGAGUUGUAUUCGAUGGAGCAUUUUCCGGACGGGGUAGGGCACAUAGCUCCGACAUCCACAACACGUUAUGCGCUCUCCCAGCUAGACAAACUUCGCUACCAGUCAAAAAGAAUAUUGCAAAACGGCUGAAAGCUCGCAUGACUUCAGCAGUCGUACGGUGCAAUGAUCGCCUAGAUCGAUUGGGCUUCAAGUUCGGGUGCAAUCUCAUUCGAGAUUGUUUGUGACGAAUUGUAACUAGGAUUAGAUCAAGUAUGACUCAUAUGGGUGCAUGCAAUCUAUACAUUCUUGAAUCAUUUCUGCCACAGGGUCGCCCUUCUUCACUGUGGUCAAAGGUCUUGCAGACUAUGCACAAGCUGUAGCAAUCAAUUCAUACUCUAAAGGUUCUGAUAAAUUUUAUGAGUAAAUGACUCUUCUCUGAUGCUCA
Molecule: long non-coding RNA, 3620 nt
Organism: Physcomitrium patens
Lineage: Eukaryota; Viridiplantae; Streptophyta; Bryopsida; Funariales; Funariaceae
Source: RefSeq, a predicted model, not a curated record